Molecule: ribosomal RNA, 460 nt
Filed under: Weissella confusa
Lineage: Bacteria; Bacillati; Bacillota; Bacilli; Lactobacillales; Lactobacillaceae
Description: bacterial SSU rRNA
Rfam family: Bacterial small subunit ribosomal RNA
Source: RNAcentral
CCUACGGGUGGCAGCAGUAAGGAAUAUUGGUCAAUGGACGCAAGUCUGAACCAGCCAUGCCGCGUGAAGGAUGACGGCCCUCUGGGUUGUAAACUUCUUUUAUCUGGGACGAAAAAAGGGCUUUCUAGCUCGACUGACGGUACCAGAGGAAUAAGCACCGGCUAACUCCGUGCCAGCAGCCGCGGUAAUACGGAGGGUGCAAGCGUUAUCCGGAUUUACUGGGUUUAAAGGGUGCGUAGGUGGGUCUGUAAGUCAGUGGUGAAAUCUCCGAGCUUAACUCGGAAACUGCCAUUGAUACUAUAGAUCUUGAAUUAUCUGGAGGUAAGCGGAAUAUGUCAUGUAGCGGUGAAAUGCUUAGAUAUGACAUAGAACACCAAUUGCGAAGGCAGCUUACUACGGAUCGAUUGACACUGAGGCACGAAAGCGUGGGGAUCAAACAGGAUUAGAUACCCGAGUAGUC